This 425-nucleotide ribosomal RNA is filed under the name uncultured bacterium. RNAcentral's name for it is "partial 16S ribosomal RNA". It matches the Rfam family "Bacterial small subunit ribosomal RNA", at positions 354 to 796 of the family's 1533-position model. The record is from RNAcentral.
GUGGGGAAUCUUAGACAAUGGGCGCAAGCCUGAUCUAGCCAUGCCGCGUGAGCGAUGAAGGCCUUAGGGUUGUAAAGCUCUUUCAGCUGGGAAGAUAAUGACGGUACCAGCAGAAGAAGCCCCGGCUAACUCCGUGCCAGCAGCCGCGGUAAUACGGAGGGGGCUAGCGUUGUUCGGAAUUACUGGGCGUAAAGCGCACGUAGGCGGAUCAGAAAGUCAGAGGUGAAAUCCCAGGGCUCAACCUUGGAACUGCCUUUGAAACUCCUGAUCUUGAGGUCGAGAGAGGUGAGUGGAAUUCCGAGUGUAGAGGUGAAAUUCGUAGAUAUUCGGAGGAACACCAGUGGCGAAGGCGGCUCACUGGCUCGAUACUGACGCUGAGGCGCGAAAGCGUGGGGAGCAAACAGGAUUAGAUACCCCGGUAGUCC